UACGAAGGUGGCAAGCGUUACUCGGAAUUACUAGGCGUAAAGCGCAGGUAGGCGGUUCGAUAAGUCUUUUGUGAAAGCUCCCGGCUUAAACUGGGAGAGGUCAAAGGAUACUAUUGGGCUAGAGUGUGGUAGAGGAUGCUGGAAUUCCCGGUGUAGCGGUGAAAUGCGUAGAUAUCGAGAGGAACACCUGCGGCGAAGGCGGGUAGCUGGGCCGACACUGACGCUGAGGCGCGAAAGCCAGGGGAGCGAACGGG
This 254-nucleotide ribosomal RNA is filed under the name uncultured bacterium. RNAcentral's name for it is "partial 16S ribosomal RNA". It matches the Rfam family "Bacterial small subunit ribosomal RNA", at positions 524 to 776 of the family's 1533-position model. The record is from RNAcentral.